RNAcentral lists this transfer RNA (93 nucleotides) under Spiroplasma platyhelix PALS-1. Its description in RNAcentral is "tRNA-Ser". It matches the Rfam family "tRNA". Rfam says of the family: Transfer RNA (tRNA) molecules are approximately 80 nucleotides in length. Their secondary structure includes four short double-helical elements and three loops (D, anti-codon, and T loops). Lineage: Bacteria; Bacillati; Mycoplasmatota; Mollicutes; Entomoplasmatales; Spiroplasmataceae. The record is from RNAcentral.
GGGAACUUACCCAAGUCCGGUUGAAGGGACCAGUCUUGAAAACUGGGAGGCGUUGUGAGACGCGCGGGGGUUCAAAUCCCUCAGUUCCCGCCA